CCCCUAACUGAUCAAACUGGAAGGCAGUGCUCGUAAACAAUGGGAGCUCGGGAGUCCAAAGAGCCACAGAAGGAAUGGAAUGCCCAUGGUUUGCUAGGUUAUCAGCAAGGAAAUUAGCUUCUCUCCACACGUACAUGAGCAAAAGAAACCGAAUCAAAAUGGGAAGACAGCCUCUUAAUAUAUUGGAUGAGGAAUUUAAUUCACCAUGGUUCAAGGCAGCCUUCUAUAAGCAAGCAGAGCUUGAGAAGUAAUGUUGGAGAGAUGAGAGAGACUUUCACGAAGGGCCAUCGCUUCAGCAAAAAGAACAUCGAUUCAUGAUUAAACCCAAGUUCUUGGACAUAGCUAAGAGACGGCGCUGGCUAAACGAGUUGGCACUGUACACUGUUCAUCUUGGCCUGAAAUGAAGUGUCGGUUUUGCCCUUCCGUUUUCUUUUAAUUACAAUCUGCCGCCACCCUUCUAUAAUCUUCUACAUCCGUCUUAACGCAGCAGAAGACACCGCAGUCUGAAUAUUUUGGGAAACUUUCGAUUUUGUGAAGUUGAGCUCAUUUGAUCAAAUCGGAGGAUCCGAUUGAGCAAUCAGAGAUAUAUGAGAGAUUAAGCUCCAGAACACUGGCUUCCAAGGAUUCACACUUGAAAAAACCAACAGAGAUAAUGCUACUGUAAGAAGAACUGAACUACUUAAUUGGAAGAACAACUAGAGCUGCAAAGACAAUCCAGACUGAACUUGACAGACUAUUAGGCCCGACCUAACAUCAAGAGCCUGAUAUCACUAAGACACAAGCACAAUGGGAGUACCUGUAGAAGCAUAGCUUGCACUCCUACUAUAACAGUUCCCUUCUACCUAAGGCAUUGCACUUCUUAAAUUUCGCGUACAUUUGGUUUUGCCUGAGUCAGUUGUUCUGUCAAGUAUAUUGAAAAAAGUUUAUCAUAUUUUUUAUCUAAUUCAAAGUUGGAUAGUGGUAAUAAUUCUCAUUUCAUGUUUAUAUUUUUCAUAUUCUUCUUCAACGUCAUCCAAACAUUGAUCCUGAUGCUUAAUCUUUUGUUUGAAGCAUGUUAUGUCAAAGAUCAUUUUUCGAAACAUUAAUUUACAUCAUGUAUACA
Molecule: long non-coding RNA, 1102 nt
Organism: Rosa chinensis
Lineage: Eukaryota; Viridiplantae; Streptophyta; Magnoliopsida; Rosales; Rosaceae
Exons: 3
Source: RefSeq, a predicted model, not a curated record